CGGGGGGGGCAAGCGUUGUUCGGAGUUACUGGGCGUAAAGGGCUCGUAGGUGGCCAACUAAGUCAGACGUGAAAUCCCUCGGCUUAACCGGGGAACUGCGUCUGAUACUGGAUGGCUUGAGUUUGGGAGAGGGACGCGGAAUUCCAGGUGUAGCGGUGAAAUGCGUAGAUAUCUGGAGGAACACCGGUGGCGAAGGCGGCGUCCUGGACCAAUACUGACACUGAGGAGCGAAAGCCAGGGGAGCAAACGGGAUUAGAUACCCCGGUAGUCCUGGCCCUAAACGAUGAAUGCUUGGUGUGGCGGGUAUCGAUCCCUGCCGUGCCGAAGCUAACGCAUUAAGCAUUCCGCCUGGGGAGUACGGUCGCAAGGCUG
This 372-nucleotide ribosomal RNA is filed under the name uncultured organism. Its description in RNAcentral is "bacterial SSU rRNA". It matches the Rfam family "Bacterial small subunit ribosomal RNA", at positions 526 to 896 of the family's 1533-position model. The record is from RNAcentral.